GAUGAACGCUGGCGGCGUGCUUAACACAUGCAAGUCGAACGAAGCACCUCUCCCGAAGUUUGACCCAGCUUGCUGUAGAUUGAUUCAUUUGAGGUGACUGAGUGGCGGACGGGUGAGUAACGCGUGGGUAACCUGCCUCAUAGAGGGGGACAACAGUUGGAAACGACUGCUAAUACCGCAUAGUAAGAAGAAUUCGCAUGUUUUCUUCUUGAAAGAUUUAUCGCUAUGAGAUGGACCCGCGUCUGAUUAGCUAGUUGGUAAGGUAACGGCUUACCAAGGCGACGAUCAGUAGCCGGCUUGAGAGAGUGAACGGCCACAUUGGGACUGAGACACGGCCCAAACUCCUACGGGAGGCAGCAGUGGGGAAUAUUGCACAAUGGGGGAAACCCUGAUGCAGCGACGCCGCGUGAGUGAAGAAGUAUUUCGGUAUGUAAAGCUCUAUCAGCAGGGAAGAUAAUGACGGUACCUGACUAAGAAGCCCCGGCUAACUACGUG
Molecule: ribosomal RNA, 495 nt
Filed under: uncultured bacterium
Lineage: Bacteria
Description: partial 16S ribosomal RNA
Rfam family: Bacterial small subunit ribosomal RNA
Source: RNAcentral